Molecule: non-coding RNA, 148 nt
Filed under: Nomascus leucogenys (northern white-cheeked gibbon)
Lineage: Eukaryota; Metazoa; Chordata; Mammalia; Primates; Hylobatidae
Source: Rfam by way of RNAcentral
GCCAGGUGUGGUGGUGCACACCUGUAAUCCCAGCUACUUGGGAGGCUGAGGCAAGGGAAUCGCUUGAACCUGGGAGGCAGAGGUUACAGUGAGCCGAGAUCGUGCCACUGUACUCCAGCCUGGGCAACAGAGUGAGACCCUGUCUCAA